Molecule: ribosomal RNA, 450 nt
Filed under: uncultured bacterium
Lineage: Bacteria
Description: partial 16S ribosomal RNA
Rfam family: Bacterial small subunit ribosomal RNA
Source: RNAcentral
GUAGGGAAUCUUCCACAAUGGGCGCAAGCCUGAUGGAGCAACACCGCGUGAGUGAAGAAGGGUUUCGGCUCGUAAAGCUCUGUUGUUAGAGAAGAACGUGCGUGAGAGCAACUGUUCACGCAGUGACGGUAUCUAACCAGAAAGUCACGGCUAACUACGUGCCAGCAGCCGCGGUAAUACGUAGGUGGCAAGCGUUAUCCGGAUUUAUUGGGCGUAAAGCGAGCGCAGGCGGUUUGAUAAGUCUGAUGUGAAAGCCUUUGGCUUAACCAAAGAAGUGCAUCGGAAACUGUCAGACUUGAGUGCAGAAGAGGACAGUGGAACUCCAUGUGUAGCGGUGGAAUGCGUAGAUAUAUGGAAGAACACCAGUGGCGAAGGCGGCUGUCUGGUCUGCAACUGACGCUGAGGCUCGAAAGCAUGGGUAGCGAACAGGAUUAGAAACCCCGGUAGUCC